Molecule: long non-coding RNA, 2670 nt
Filed under: Equus caballus (horse)
Lineage: Eukaryota; Metazoa; Chordata; Mammalia; Perissodactyla; Equidae
Description: lncRNA (ENSECAG00000055101.1)
Source: RNAcentral
CAGCCGUCUCACCACCUUCCCUUAGAGAUCUGUUCCUCCCCCUAAAGGCCCUGGGGUUGAUUCCAGUGGGGCUGCCAACCACAGAUUCCUGAGCCCUGGCCACAAGAGGAUGAUGCAACCUAAGCCUGAGCCGUCAUAGAGCCCCACCCCCAGCCUGGAGCCUGAAUGAGGGGACUGAUCAAAGCUGGGCCAAUCAGCUGGGACUUCUACACAGGAAAGCAGGGGAGGGGAGAGAAGCCUUCUCAUUGCCUGGGCACAGCUGAGCUGAAUAAUAUAAGCCAGGAGCUUCUGGUGGCCAUGCCUCCUGUGCCUGUCCUCGCAAGGAUGAAGUCAUCCCCAGUAAGAGAAAAUGAGGCCUGAGCACAGAGAAAAGUCAAGACGAAUGACGGAGGCAAAGGGAUGGGAGUAGGAAGGUAACAGGAUGUGCGAUGGGACUGUUCCUGUUGUCCGGGAAUUCCAGCUAAAGCCCAGAGGCGAGGACAAAGAGGCUCUAAGCCAAGAAGCACACCACCUGCUGAAGCGAGCUGCCCACCAUGGCACACGCUGCCUACCCGGGCUCACCAAAAGAGGGGGAGUCAGUCACUGUGAGCCCAAAACACAGUAACAGCGGGCCUAGAAAGGACGGCAGCUGUGGCCAGGUGGGUAAAGAUGCUCUCGUCCAGUUUCCUCUCCUUCUGCCCAGCCCAAACACACCAGUGAGCUUUGAAGCCAGAUACCCGAGGGUUACCAUAGAAAUGUGGAUGAAGACAGUGGGGACUGAAGUCAGGUUUCUGAGGGUUACUGUAGAUAUUCAAUAUGAACAUGAUUGCCUUUCACAAUUUGCUAUUUUCUUGUUUGAGCUGAGGGGUGACUCAGGGGUCAUGAGGACCUGUGAGCCUGUUUUGCUGAAGAGAGAACGCCUUCAGGGAUGUUGUGAUGACAGGACGAUCAGCCCCCCAGUGGCUGUUGACGCCCAGAAGUCAGAUUGCCCAGGAGCUUCUCUACAGUGAAAGAAAUACGGACUUACCCUUCGUUUCUCCAAAACUCCUCCUGCCAAGCCCCUUGGCUCUGUAAAACGCCCUGCUUUCUUCUCUGGUUAAGGCAGAUUUAAGAGAACCUCUCCUCCCGCCUUCUUGUUUCGGUGAAUUCAAAUAAACCUUUCUCCGUCUCCACGCAGGGAUGGCUCAGCGACUGACCUACUGCGCGUGGGUGUGUGAACUGGAGACUAAGAGGUUCCCUAUGGAGCGGGGCCUUGAAGAAGGGAGGGAGGGAUAGCUCAGAACCUGAUCACGCUCCUUCCCCAGCUUCAUUGCUAGCAGUCAGGAUUCCAGUUCAAGACCGCUCCAUCAUCCUCCUUUUUUUGAGGAAUUGCUCCUAUCCCACCCAUAAAAAUAGCUAAGAAUGCAGAAUUUGUGGAGAGGAUCAAAGAUAUUAAGAUGUCACAUUUACUGUUGCUGCCAUGACCGAAGCCGAAAAGCAGCACAGAACCGUGCGGAGGGUGGGCCCUGACUUGGACCUGCCUCUAAGGAGGGACCUUCUCCCAAUGCCCGGAAGCUUUCUGGGCUGGCUUGCAAGCCCAGCUCAGAAAUGCAGAGGAGUUAAUACCCUAUAGGCAACCCUCAACCAACACAGAACGGUGGCUGAUGGACAAAUGCUCCAGCCUCCAGUCCAACAGGUGGAGACUUUCGGGAGAUAUUCUGCACGCUUCUCAGAGGUCCUGGUGGAAUUGAACUCCCACCGCUGACAGUAGUGACCUCAACAAUGCAUCCAUAGAUGAACUCUCCCCUUCUCUGUCUCACUCCCCCUGUCCCUUCACUCCUGCUUCCUGGGAUCACCUGUACCAAGUCUUGUCUCAGGCUCUGCUUUGGGGGACACUACAGUCUGGGAAAUGUUUGAUGUGGACAGAAGCAGGACUAAUGGUGGAACUUCUAAGUUAGCCUCCCUCCUGCAUGUGGGAUGCCUUGAAGAAAGCUGCAGCGUAGAUGAAAAGGAAACGCUAUACCAUCUAACAGCUGGGACACCGGAGACCAGGCGGUUCUGCUGCAGGCCCCAUAACCACCGAGGACACUAUGAGAAGCAGCGCCCUUCCUCGAGCUCUGAGAAAGCACCCCUGCUUGGACCGACUGAGACCUGUGUCAGCGAAAGCUGGGGCGGUGUGGGUGACAGGACUACCAGAACAGGGUGAUCCUGUCAGAGCCCCUCUCUUCAGGACUGCCAUGCCUUCAGCACAGCUCUCAGCAGCACCAGCUCUCCACUAACAGCCAAUGGAGCGCCGACCAACACCUGGCAAGUGAAUCUGGCUGCAGGGACAUCCCUAAGGUCCCCUCCCCCAGCAGGUGUCCACAGAGCAACACUGAGUAGGACUGAUUCCUGGGCAAAUGUAAGCAACCCUGGAAUAUUUGAAGGUAGAAUUAUUGAAAAAUAUUUGACGAAGAAAAGGAUUGAACUUUGUGCUAAUUUCACACCUAGCAGAUCAGAGCUGUAAUUGAGGCUUAAAAAGAAACACGAACGCACUUUAUCAUCACAAGUUGGUAAAGUCAGGAAUGUACUUUACAACCACUUUAUCAACAUUUAGUCAAACAUUUCCCAAAACUCAUUCAUUUGCCUAGUAUCUAACAAUUUACUAUCUGUACUAUUCGUUACUUAAUAUUUUUCUUUAAACCAAAACACUUUUUCAAACUUAAAUAUCCA